Molecule: ribosomal RNA, 252 nt
Filed under: uncultured bacterium
Lineage: Bacteria
Description: partial 16S ribosomal RNA
Rfam family: Bacterial small subunit ribosomal RNA
Source: RNAcentral
UACGGAGGAUGCGAGCGUUAUCCGGAUUUAUUGGGUUUAAAGGGUGCGUAGGCGGAUCGUUAAGUCAGUGGUCAAAUUGAGGGGCUCAACCCCUUCCCGCCAUUGAAACUGGCGAUCUUGAGUGGAAGAGAAGUAUGCGGAAUGCGUGGUGUAGCGGUGAAAUGCAUAGAUAUCGCGCAGAACCCCGAUUGCGAAGGCAGCAUGCCGGCUUCCUACUGACGCUGAAGCACGAAAGCGUGGGGAUCGAACAGG